GGCUCCGUGGCGCAAUGGAUAGCGCGUCGGACUUCUAGUGGUUAUAUAUAUAAUAUAUAUAUAAAAGGUAUUCGGAGGCUGUGGGUUCGAGUCCCACCGGAGUCG
RNAcentral lists this transfer RNA (105 nucleotides) under Lingula anatina. It matches the Rfam family "tRNA". From Rfam's summary of the family: Transfer RNA (tRNA) molecules are approximately 80 nucleotides in length. Their secondary structure includes four short double-helical elements and three loops (D, anti-codon, and T loops). The record is from Rfam by way of RNAcentral. Lineage: Eukaryota; Metazoa; Brachiopoda; Lingulata; Lingulida; Lingulidae.